Molecule: long non-coding RNA, 1235 nt
Organism: Glycine soja
Lineage: Eukaryota; Viridiplantae; Streptophyta; Magnoliopsida; Fabales; Fabaceae
Exons: 3
Source: RefSeq, a predicted model, not a curated record
AAAGGAGUUGAAGCUAUACCUACCGUUCAGUACUAAUGUGUUAACCAGUGAAACUAUAAUGAUGAGUUUUUUCAGAUCUUAAGUUUAACUUCAACCUAAAUUGUUAAAUAUUUGAAUUGAAUUGGAGAAGCUUUAAAAGUUAAUGGAAAGUUGGAUUGUUUGAAGAUUUACAUAGAAAGUAGUUCUUGUAUGCCUCUUUCAUUUUUUUCCCUUUCCUCCGUUAAAUCUCUCCAAGAUUUUUACGUUUGUUACCUCUACCAAUCAUUGAUUAUUAUUGAGUCCUAUCUAUCAUGUUUCAGUUACAGGAUACAAACUAACUUGUUAUUGACCAAUAGUUAAGUCUUAAUGAACUUGGGCAUCAAGGAAGAAUAUUAGGUGCUCUUCAUGAUCAAGUCUGUUGCAUUUAUCUCAGUUUUCCCAUGGUGUUAAAUUCAUUUAAUGCCACUUCUUGAUGAUUGUUAGAGACCAAAAAACAAGGAUGGAAAUGAAAAUGCAGAACAGGGAUGAUAUAUGAACUGGGAUAUAAUUUGUUAAGGUUUUGUUAUUUUAUAUCAUAAUCGUCUUUUUGAACUACAGGCAAAGGAGAGGAUAUGUAGACUAGUUCAGAGCAGUGUUGAAAUGGGGCUAGACUUCUACUUGAUGGAAGAGAUAUUGUGGUGUUAAACUUUACUUUUGGAGCAAGAAACUAAGUUUUCAGAGCUUGCUUGAGAGGUACCGGGAUAUGAAAGUGGAAACUUUGUUGGUCCUACUAUCUUAUGUGAUGUUACAACCAGCAUGGAAUGUUACAAGGAAGAAAGUUUUGGACCAGUUCUACUUUUGAAGUGGUCACUGGUUCAGUGCUGAAUAACCAGUAACCAAAGUUAAAUGUCCAUUUACUCUUUACUCUAAUGCUAGUUCAUAACAAUUUCCAUAUUAAAAUGUGCCAAAGUGAUAUAGCACGGUUACUCUUCUAGUUCUUUGGCUUUAGCCUCUUUCUCUGCAUGCUUCCGCUGGCACUCUUCAAGUGUGCCUAAGCAAACACUUCUGAAAGAACAUUUAAACCAUGCAGAACGUUGUCACAAUAAACAAAGUUCAUUUAAACCAUGCAGAACAUUGUCAUCAGAAUGGUGAAGCUUUGCAGCUUUUCAUGUUAACUUUGAUACAUGUGUAGCUUCUUCAUGCAUAAGGUACUUUGCAGAACAUUGAAGCACGAAUCAGAAUGGUGCCAUCAGUCUUAACUUGGGUUCACAACAAAC